GGGUGAGCAGAACUCAGGGGUCCCCGAGCAGAGGAAGCGCCUGGGAGAGGCUGGAGGCGAUGGAAGUUUCUGGUCCCUGGCCUGGGCAGUUUUCCAUUGACAGCCCGAGGGGUGGAGAGGGUGCGGCCUGAUGGUGAUCCUCUCUGGGCUCACAAGGGGUCCCCUGGGGAAGGGCGUGGAUGUCACCCAGGAAGUGAAUCCCCUCCACGAUGAAGGGAUAAGAGAGCGGCUGAGAGUUGGAGUUUGAGCGAACACUGGU
Long non-coding RNA from Balaenoptera acutorostrata (minke whale), 259 nucleotides. RefSeq lists it as uncharacterized. Lineage: Eukaryota; Metazoa; Chordata; Mammalia; Artiodactyla; Balaenopteridae. The record is from RefSeq and is a predicted model, not a curated record. The transcript has 3 exons.